Molecule: ribosomal RNA, 1296 nt
Filed under: Triticum aestivum (bread wheat)
Lineage: Eukaryota; Viridiplantae; Streptophyta; Magnoliopsida; Poales; Poaceae
Description: partial small subunit ribosomal RNA
Source: RNAcentral
AUGCUGGCGUCCAGGGUCUGGUCUAGGUCCGCGCCGCAGUCCUCGCGCGCCUUGGCUUCCGCAGCGGCCUCGGCGGCGAGGUCCGGCAUGCAGCUCUCGCAGGCUCCUCCCGGUCUCGCAGAGCGGCCCUGCGCCGGGAUAGCUGAGGCUGAUGCGCCGCCGCUGUGCUCUUCUUCAGGCGAUUCACGAGGAGAACAUGCCUGCAGAAGACGCACAUAUCAAAGACAUCCAGUGUCUAAUCGAGCCACGCCUGUCGGAGGGAACCGUCAUGUUCUUUAUGCAAGUUAUCUUUCACAGAACCAACAGAACUACAGAUCUUUUUCGGCUUCGUCCGACCAAGAAAGGAUAGAAGCUGCAAACAGGUUCCAGAUAAUACAUGGUCUGCCAAGGUGUGUGAAAAUUGUAGAAGUUGGGCCUCGAGAUGGACUGCAGAACGAAAAAAAUACAGUGCCAACACCUGUAAAGAUUGAGCUCAUAAAGAGAUUGGUAACCUCUGGAUUAUCAGUUGUUGAGGCAACAAGUUUUGUCUCCCCAAAAUGGGUGCCACAGCUAGCUGAUGCGAAGGAUGUUAUGGAAGUGGUUCGGAAUAUUACGGGUGUAAGCUUUCCUGUAUUGACUCCAAACCUCAAGGGAUUUGAAGCAGCAGCUGCAGCAGGUGCCAAAGAAGUUGCAAUAUUUGCGUCAGCUUCUGAAGCAUUUUCAAAGUCAAACAUAAACUGUUCAAUUAAAGAGAGCCUUGUCCGCUAUAAUGAUGUUGCUCUUGCAGCAAAAAAGCGAGAAAUUCCUGUACGAGGGUAUGUUUCUUGUGUGGUUGGAUGCCCAGUAGAAGGAUCAGUACCACCUUCAAAUGUAGCUUAUGUUGCCAAAGAGCUUUAUGACAUGGGCUGCUACGAGGUUUCGCUUGGUGAUACGAUUGGAGUUGGUACCCCAGGCACAGUUGUACCAAUGCUUGAGGCAGUUAUGUCCGUCGUUCCCGUGGAAAAGCUUGCUGUCCAUUUCCACGACACCUACGGGCAGUCUCUUUCAAACAUCCUCGUCUCUCUCCAGAUGGGUAUUAGUGUCGUGGACUCCUCCGUCGCAGGCCUUGGUGGCUGCCCAUAUGCGCAGGGCGCAUCAGGGAAUGUUGCUACUGAAGACGUAGUGUACAUGCUGAAUGGGUUGGGGAUCAAGACAGGCGUCGAUCUAAGCAAGGUAAUCGCAGCCGGCGAGUUCAUCUGCAAGCAUCUGGGGCGCCAGUCUGGGUCCAAGGCAGCUACUGCCUUGAGCAAGGUUACCGCGAGCGCCUCAAAGCUAUGA